RNAcentral lists this long non-coding RNA (22755 nucleotides) under Fragaria vesca (wild strawberry). Its description in RNAcentral is "long non-coding RNA (FVES_LNC002082)". Lineage: Eukaryota; Viridiplantae; Streptophyta; Magnoliopsida; Rosales; Rosaceae. The record is from RNAcentral.
UUUUUUUUUUUGGUUUACAGGUAAGUUAGGAUUUUUUUUUCUUUUUUGAAUAAUUGAGUAAUUGUUCAUACACAUAAGUCUCAUUUACAUAAUUAAAAAGAUUACCACGUAGUGAAACGGUUGUGGCAUAUAAACAUCAUGACACAUAUUCCUUAAUAUGAUCAAUAGAAAAAGGUUAAUCACCAUGAAUGACAUUCAUGAGUUGAAUGAGUCAACCCCACCCUAACAAAUUUUUACGCAUAUAUAUACCAGUGGGUUAGAAUGAAUAGUAACCCAACGGAGUGUAAAGAUACAACCUUGCCACCAAGAUUAAGACAAACAACUUCACCAUCUUGAAAAACAUGUCCCAAAUCACAAAAGCACAUAACAUUAACUAUUAAUUUGUAAAUGUAUUCAUAGAUCUAAAAGCAGAAGAGCUCUCUUAGGGUUUUCUCUCUAGCGUUUUUUUAGCAACCAGACUUUUUUCUCUUCCCUGUAACGAUGGUGGACGAGGUUCCACGUUGUCUCUAAUGAUUUUUUUUAAGAGUUUGGAACCCAACCAAGCUGGGAGGCUCAGGCCUACGCCCGGUUCCAAUUAUUUUAUUGAAGGAAAAAAAAAAAGUACAUGAGGGCAACUCCAACCAUUAGUCCUAUAAUUGAGUCUUAUAUCUAUUAUAGGACCUCUUAUGGCACUAUUCAUAUAAAACUCAUUUUUUCAUCUCCAACAAUGAGUUUUAUGGUCCUAUAUUCACUUUAGUUGAUUAAAAUAAGUUUUGAGUACUAUGCUUAUGAAAUAAAUAUUAAGUAAUAUGUUAACCUUAUUAAAUAAAUAAAAAUCAUCAUUUUUAUUUUUAUCACAAUUUUAAAAAUAAUAGCUUGGCACCGUCGGUGGUGACAGUGAUCCAAGCUUCGCAAAGAAUAGUUUCUUCAAUAUUGUGCCUCCAUGAAUCUUUUCUUUUGCUCAUUUUUCUCUUUAAAUAAUUGAAGAAAGAGAUAGUGAAUAAAUUGAAAAUGUGCAAGGAGAAGAUUAUAUUUUGGUGUGAAGAAUUUGUGAGAUCUUUGGUUCCUAUUUAUAGACUUGCUUCAAAAAAAAAUUGCCCAACGGAUCUCUUCAUUUUUCAAAAUAUUUCUGCUAUUUUUUUAUUGUUUUUUGAGGUCAAAAUGAAAUUAAUCAGGUUGAACUUAAUGGGCCAUUGAUAUUUUGAUCACAUAUAAUCUGGACCAUCAGUUUUUUGUUACUAGCAUUGGAGUUUCCCAAAGGUCACAAGGAGACAGCAUUGAAGACUUGGGCCCACAACUGUUUGAAAUUGGAAACAGCAGCGCAUAGACGCGUGUUCCCCUCACCCCGCGUUGCCACAGCCCGCGUGUUCCCACCAUGUCUCUUUUAACGUGUCGCUUCUUUAUCCAUCACGGACCCAACCCAAUUCAGUGGGCCCCGAGUUCUGGUCUUAGAAAUGUCUCAAAUAUGAGACUGAGAAUAGGAUUUGGUCUCAUAAUUCCAAAACCAAAACCUCUAUUUUUAGCCCGUUGGAGAUGAGAAGUCUCAUUAUGAGACCAAGACUGGGUUUUAAACCCAUUGUUGGACUUGCCCUGAGAGGGGGAGAUAUACCAAAACCCCUCUCGGAAAAAGAAGAAUAACCCUAAAACCUGAGAUCUACUAAGGAUAAUUAACAACGAAAAACAAAUUCGUUGUUGCUGCCCAAAGAGUCACAAACAUAAAGACCAUUAAAAGAUCACAAACUAAAACGAUAGUUGAGAAAGUCUGCUAGAUCACAUGAAUAAGCUGCAUUGCACAAGGUGGACAUGAAUCCCACCAAUGAACUCUUGUGUUAUCCGCACCAAAAUUAGCUAAAUAGUCAGCAACGUUGUUACCCUCCCGAUAAAUAUGAGAUACUUUUACAGUCAUAGUAGCAAGAAUAAACCGACAGUUAAAAUCAUUCAGUAGUGAAACGCCAUGGUACAUCUACUUUAAAAGAAGAAAGAAAAUGAAUCACUAAAGUAGAGUCACUUUCUGAUAUGGGUGUAUCCUAGCCUUUUAGGGAUUAGCCGAUUCCUUCUCCAAGUUAGUUAAGGAAACAGCUUUUCUAGCUUGUUAGAGGAAUAGUUUUCUAACUUAGUUUGGUAUUAGUUGUCUAAUUUAGUUAGGGAGUACUCUCCAAGUUAGAUAAGGAUUUAUAGAGAUUUAGACUCUAUAAAUAGAGUUGUCUAGCUUAGUUCUAGAUAGAAGAGUGAAACAGAGACAACAUCUGUUUAGACCAGGGUGAAACAGAGACAACAUCUGUUUAGACAAGAAAGAGAGGGAAACAGAGAGAUAGUCUUGUUUAGAGUUAUUAUUAGGGAAGGAUUCAGACAAUAAACAUUGUACCUUUGCACAAUAAUAAGAGGAGAAUACAUUUUCUUCAAACCUACUUUCCUUGUGUGUUUCAGUACUAGUAAUAAUUCCGCUAUUAGUAGUAUCCGCCUAGUAAUUUGAAUCAAGUUGGUAUCAAGAGCGCAUCGAUUCUGCGAGGGGGUUCCUGUGGUUUAUGGUCCUUACUCGAUCACAAUACAGAAAGCUAGGCAAGGUUCUUGUUUCUUGGGAAGAAACUAGGAGGACAAGAGAAAAGAGGAUGGGUGACGAAAGAACAGACAAAGAGAGACUUGAUGCGGUAGAGAAGCAGUUGGCGUCGAUAAGUUCUACUCUUGCAGAACUGGCCAAUUUCAUCAAACAGGAGAAGAAAGUCAAACCUUUGGAGAAGUCGAAGAACAAAACUUCUGAUUCAGAUGACGAAAGGGAUGAAGCAGAUUCGGAUGAGGAAACAGACGACACCAGCAAAACUUCGCAUCAAGGAGGCAAGGGUUCUUUUCGGAAUCUGAAGAUCGAUUUCAAAGUUGAAAUCCCUAUGUAUGACGGAAGCGUCAACGUAGAGAAACUAGACGAUUGGAUUGAGCGUCUAGAGACUUAUUUUACUCUUUAUAACUACUCAUCACAGGAGAAGAUUAUCUUUGCAACUCUAAAACUAUCGGCUCAUGCAUUGACUUGGUGGAAGUCCUAUCAGAAAAAUAGUGACGGAGAGGCAAUGUCGUGGAAGAAGUUCAAGGAGUUGCUUAGGAAGCAGUUCUAUCCAGUCGGUUUUCUAGAAGAAAGAUGGUGCAAGUGGUACAACUUGCGUCACGAAUUCAAUCAAUCCGUACAAGAAUACACCACCGAAUUCCAGAAUCAAGCUAUGGUUUUGGAUAUUUCAUUGAAGGAGUAUUCUGUGUUCAUGAAAUAUGUGGCGGGUCUGAGUGAGUAUAUCCAGAAGGAGUUGAAAUUAUUCACAGUGGAAACUAUUGCAGAAGCCAGUGUGAAAGCCAUUGCCAUUGAGGGCAAAUUUAAGAAGAAUGUAACAGAAAGAGAUGGAAAGCAAUCUGUGGGUAAGUCCAAUGGUUCCUCUGUCAAAAAGAAAGAGCAUGAGGGUGGUGAGUCUGAUGGGAAAGAAUGUUUGGUUUGCAGUCACUGUGAAGGAACAGGCCAUGUGGUGGAUAAGUGUUGGGUGAAAUAUCCUCAUCUUAAACCAAGAGGGUUAAGGCAAAAGGAGGAGAAAAAGAAAGUCGCUUUGACCACACAGGAGCCAAAGGAAGUACCAGGGAUGACAAAACCAAAUGCAAAGCUCAAUCUUAUGGCAAGAAAUAAGCAGCCUGUAACGGAUGAAGCAGACCCCAGGGAGCAGCUCUUUGUUGUUAAGUUACAGGUGAAGACCAGUUUGGUUGAUGCCAUUGUGGAUCCGGGUAGUCAGAUGAAUCCUAUCUCGGAAGCCUUGGUUCAGAAGCUGGGUCUCAAUACAGUCAGACAUCUGAAGCCAUAUUUGUUGGGAUGGAUCCAAAAGGAAGCAGGCGGGAUGAGUAUUACCAGCCAAUGCACAUUUAAGUUUGCGCUUCAUGAGUCUUACAUCGAUGAAGUGACAUGUGAUGUGGUGCCAUUGGAUGUUUGUCAAGUUAUACUAGGUAAUCCCUAUUUGUGGGAUAGAUAUGCUAUCUAUGACAGAAGAGCCCAGAUGUAUACGUUCACAAAGGAUGAACAACAGUUUGUUAUUCGAGCGAUUUCCCUGCCACAAGAGGCAAGCUUGGUAACAGUGAUGCGGGUUAAAAGAUUAGUCAAUGCUUGUAGGAAAUUUGUCUUGUUGACACGUCCACAUGAAGGGCACUCAAGUCAAGAUAUUGAGAAGUCAAAAUUGAAGAAGUCACAAGCAAAGUACAAGGCCAGACAAGAUAAACAUCGAGUACCUUGUUACUUUGGUAUUAGCGACUUAGUAUGGUUAAGGCUGAGUAAAGAGCGCCUUAAAGAGGAUCCAUUGCUAGAAGAUUGCAUUUUGGAGCAGCAAGUGGCUACGACACGUCGAGGGGAGUAAACAGUGUUCUGCAUUGGGCGUGCAGGUUAGGUUCCAAGAAAAGCUAAGUGGUUCAGCAAAGACAAGGGAACUCUCGAGUUUUCUAAUCUCUAGUUUUAACUUAAACGAGAGUUUAAGUUCCUGAAAGGGGGAACCAUGAUACGGGUGUAUCCUAGCCUUUUAGGGAUUAGCCGAUUCCUUCUCCAAGUUAGUUAAGGAAACAACUUUUCUAGCUUGUUAGAGGAAUAGUUUUCCAACUUAGUUUGGGAUUAGUUGUCUAACUUAGUUAGGGAGUACUCUCCAAGUUAGAUAAGGAUUUAUAGAGAUUUAGACUAUAUAAAUAGAGGUGUCUAGCUUAGUUCUAGAUAGAAGAGUGAAACAGAGACAACAUCUGUUUAGACUAGGGUGAAACACAUACAACAUCUGUUUAGACCAGAAAGAGAGGGAAACAGAGAGAUAGUCCUGUUUAGAGUUAUUGUGAGGGAAGGAUUCAGACAAUAAACAUUGUACCUUUGCACAAUAAUAAGAGGAGAAUACAUUUUCUUCAAACCUACUUUCCUUGUGUGUUUCAGUACUAUUAAUAAUUCUGUUAUUAGUAGUAUCCACCUAGUAAUUUGUAUCACUUUCAAUCCAAAGAGAAUGCCAACCUCCUUGCGAAAUGACCGCCUGUAACUCAACUUCCAAUGCAAUAGCAAGGAUAAGGUGACGUUUGACGGCAGAAGUGUUGCUGCAAUCUCAUUAUGCAGUGGGGAGGCUACUCUCCAGAAGAAAACUAAUUUCCUGAGCUUUGAUGGGGAAGCUUUAUUCACUCUGCGUUCUUGAUUGUCUAUGUAACACUACCAGGACAAGCACUUUCGUCGGCCUGUUAGCUUAAUUCGCCGGCUAAGAUCUUAGCCGACGAAGGCUCGUUGGUUAAGAUUUCGUCGGGAAAAGGUAGUCGGCGAUGACUUUAGCCGACGAAACAAGAAGACGUCGUCGGCUAUAGUCCCAGAGUUUAGCCGACGAAAAACAAGUCGUCGUCUUUUUUCCCAGACUUUAGCCGACGAAGAAAUUAGAUAGUCGUCGGCUUUUUUCCCAGACUUUAGCCAACGAAGAAAUUAUAUAGUCGUUGGCUAAAGUGUGUAAUAAAAAAUUAAAAAAAUAACUAAAGCCGACGAAAUAUAAUCUGUUUCGUCGGCUUUAGGAGGGUUUAGCCGACAAAACGGGCCGUAAUUCGUCGGCUAAACCUUAUUAAAAAAAAUUAAAAAUACUAUAGCCGACAAAUAUUUUACAUGUUUCGUCGGCUAUAAGUCCAUUUCAGUAAAAAAAAAAACGACGAAAUUUCUAAAUUAACCAUUCCAAGCAAGCUGCAAAAUACACCAAAANNNNNNNNNNNNNNNNNNNNAGGUAGCGGUAUAGGCGUAGGCAUGGGCGGAGCCGGAAGUCCCUGAAGCUGGGCAGCUGUAAACUCCUGCAUGUACUGAAGCAUCUGCCGCUGCUGGGCCUGCUGGAUGGCAUAUACCUCAGCAGUAUAGGCUGUCUGCGCGGCAUUAUAGGCAGCCUGAGCAGCUUGUUGUUUCCGUAGUCUCUGAACUUCUGACUCUAGCUGAGUCGUCCUGCUGGUAGUCGAGGUCCUCCUACUGGUCGAGGCUGCCUUUCGUUGAAAUCCUGGAGUGGUCUUCAGGACCCUCUCACCCUUCUUUCCUAGACCCCGGCAGUAGAAGUUGUUUGCUCGCGGUGGGAAAGCUGUGCCCAUGAUCCUCGCCCCAACCCUUGGAUCUAAAGUGUCGAUCCGGGACAUGGCUUCGGACAUCUCUUCCUCCUGCGUGUCCGGCCAUGUCUCCCUCACUAUAGUACUCAUCACCUCGUCACUAGCCUCCCUCACAUUCGCCUAAUUGGAUAGGAAAAAAUAAUUAAUUAACAUUUUGACAUAUAUAUAAGUAAAAUUAAAAAUUUAAAAUUUAAAAACAUAAGAUGACUUACAAUAUCCUCCUGGGCGUCAUGAUAUGCCUUCUCGUACGUAUAGACGUACUGGUUGACUUCUGGAUGUUCCCUGGCCACCUCGUCCAUGGAGACAGCGAACGGUCUAGAACCGGCAUGAUGGUUCUUUGUGUUGCGUUGCCGGUUCUGAGCGUUCGCUCGGGAAACAGCCUUCAAAGAAAAAAAUAAACUAUUAGUAAAAUAUUUAAAACCGCACGUACUUAAUGACAAAUUAACUAAUUAAUUUUUUUAAAUACCUGUUUACGAGGGUUGUUGAAUUCUGAUGUCAGAAGCCAACGCCACUCGUAUUCCCUAUACUGGAACUCAGCAGGGGUACCAUAACGUGCGUUCCCGUGCGUAGUCCAGUGGGUCCGCAACUCGUUCUUCCACUCCUUGUAAUAUCACAUACAAUUUUAUUUUUUCAUUAACUUCCCAACGUACCUUCCCCCAUGCACAACGUCCGCCCAGCUGCUCUUCAGGUGCUCGGGAACCUUAAACCACACCUGCAUUUAACCGUUUAUUAGUUUAGUUUUUUGAGAAAUCAACAAUGUAAUACAUAAUAUUAUUGAGGCAUUUUGUAACUCACCGACAUCGCGUUGUGGACCAUGUCCUUAACCUCCUGCGGAACUCUAUCCCUAAUGAGCGCUCCCACGCGGCCAGAGUACAUCCUCGACUUCCCACCCGAUAUUAUGUCGUCAUCCCCGUCAGUACGAAUGACGAUCCUCCCUCAGGUACUGACGAUCUUCUCGAAAGCCUUUCUUGUGACGGGGCCUCUCUUCUUCUUUGCCGGUUUCGCUCCGACGGUGCCUAUCACAUCAUAAACCAAAUUGAUUAUUAAAAUCAGAGACCCUUUAUUAUUAAUUAUAAGAAAACAAAUCAUUCAUCUUUCAUUACCUGAGGGCGAUGCGGCGAACGCAACGGAUUCCGUCUCUGUCACUGAUGAUGAUACCCUCGCAGAAAUAAGAGGCGUAUCAAAAGGCACGAACCGGUACGCUGCUGAUGGAGCCACUGGCGGGGGUAGUGGAUAAAUCGGCGUCCCUGAGCCAUCGACUGCAGGUAAGGCCAGUAUCAUCCGUGGAAAGAACAGAUGAGGCGGCGGCAUCUGUACCCCAGAUGACCCACUAUCCGAAGAAGUAGGACCUGGAGUGGGCGCCCGGUGUAUCUUAGGCAUACGGGGUGCAGACACCUUCGUCUGGGUCUGAGGCCACAACUGCCUCGAGGAAUGAAGGACGCCCCGCUGCCUCGAUGAAGGGGGCACCUCCGGCUGCCUCUGCGCCGUCUCCAGAAGGGUCGCACGUCUGGCUGUCAUGGGGCCCUGAAACGACGUUUGAGGGUUGCUAGAGGUUCCCUCAGACAAUUCGGACCUUUGGCCCUUCGAACCCUUCGCCGAUCUAAAAUUACCGCUCAUCCUGUUUAAAAUAUUAAUUUGAAUCAAGACUGAGGAAAAGUGACAGAGCUAGAAAUUUGUCAUAGGGGGGUUCAUAUAUGAAGUGCCGAUCAUUAUCGGAAAAAAAAAAAUGUACCGAUCAUUCGGUCGUAUAACUCAAUUACUAUAUCAUAAGUUAAAAUUGAAAAUAUAAUAACAUAAUACUAAUAUAAAGUUCUUAAACACUGGAAUCAAUAAUGCAACAAUCAUCUCGUGUAUAAAAAAAACUAGAGGUACUCAAAUAAUGACAAUUUCACUACACAACCAUGCACUAAUCCAAUAACAAAACGGCAAUGCAUUUAUACGAAUUCAAAAACGCCGUAAUCAAAUCAAACCCCCCAUAAAUAUAUUGAGGAAACUCAACUACACAAAAUAUAUCUUAAUCAUUCUUCUUGUCUCCCUUCCAGUUUCUAACAUCAAACUUCAUCAUCUCUUUAUCAAACACACUAAGAAGUUUGGACAUUAACAGCAAUAACAACAAUAACAACGGCUGCUAUUCAACGCCUUCCAACUAAAACAAUAUCCUCCGAUCAUCCAACUUUUCAAAUUCUCAACUCUGCAAUCCAAUAUACCAAACAACCAAAAUCAAGAUCAAAGAUUCACAAGCGACCGGAAAUCAUCAAGAAACACCAAAACGCCACCACUGCCAACAAAAUCUCAUAUAAUGAAGGCAAAUAAAGCGAGAAAGGGGACUCACUUUAGGCUUAAAGGAGGUAAACAGUAGUGGACUGGAGGGCGUGGAGGCGGAGCAGGCGAGCAGCAGAGGGCGACCGGGAGAGGGAGAGGGAGAGGGCGGCGACCGGGAGAGGGAGAUUGGACUUUGCUAGGAGGCGGUGGAGGCUGUCGAGCAUAGCGCUGGGAUAUGGGGAGGCGGGCGAGGAGGUGGAGGUGGUGUUUAGGGUUUAGUCUCGCAGACUAGGGAGCGCAGCGCUGGGAUAUACCCGACAACUUUAGCCGACGAAAUAAAUAUUUCAUCGGCUAAAGCUAUAAAAUCUCGUCGGCUAAGACGAAACUCAUCGGCUAAACGUUGAAACUCAUCGGCUAAACCUUUCAAAUUCGUCGGCUAAACCCUUGAAAUUCGUCGGCUAAAUGUUGAAAUUCGUCGGCUAAAACUUUGAAAUUCGUCGGCUAAAGUACUUUUUAUACAUUCGGCAAAUUGUGAUUGUGAUGAUCAAACUUGAGAAACGGAAAUACGACCGUCAGAUCUGACCAUCAUGAUAAAAUACAUGUAUGGGAAAAAAUUCAACUUGAUCCGACAAGGUUAAAGGCUCAAUCCGGACGGUCAAUCCGUUAAGUCAAAACCCUAAACGCAAGGAAAAGGUCAUUGGACCGUUUAAAUUACGUAUUUUGGCCGGACCUUCAACUGAAAAUAGUUUUAAACCGAUGAGACCCAACAAGUCAUAUAAAAAUUUUACGGAAAAUAACCACCAAAGAUAGGGCUACCCAUAGGGAUAAAGAAUGGAAAAUUGCAUUGACCGCAACUAUCGGCACCGAGACUUUACCGGAAUACCAUGAUUUUUCAACCGUAGACGUAUUUCACCAUUCUGGUCAUAUCUUAUUUCAUUACUUUUUUGUGUUUAAAGGUUCUACGUAUAUUUUGUUUUCGAAACGGAACAUUUAUUUAAACACUUGGUAAACAAGUUAUACCACAUUAGUAGGCAUGUUAUGAUUGUGAUGAUCAAACUUGAGAAACGAAAAAUCCGACCGUCAUAUCUGACCAUCAUGAUAAAAUACAUGUAUGGGAAAAAAUUCAACUUGAUCCGACAAGGUUAAAGGCUCGAUCCGGACGGUCAAUCCCGUAAGUCAAACCCCUAAACGCACGGAAAAGGUCAAUGGACCGUCUAAAUUACGUAUUUUGGCCAGACCUUCAACUGAAAAUAGUUUCAAACCGAUGAGACCCUACAAGUCAUAUAAAAAUUUUAGGGUUUAGUGUUUAGCCGACGAAAUAUUAGGGUAUUCGUCGACUAACCUCAUCUUAGCCGACGAAUUAUGGUAUAUUUCGUCGGCUAAGAUUGUUUAAGCCGACGAAUUAUGGUUUAUUUCGUCGGCUAAAGUGUAAAAAAUACAUUAAAAAAACAGAAGGUUUAAACCAUACUAACUUCAUGUUUAUAUAUCACCAAAAUUCAUAUAAAAUAACAGAAAUAUGAAUUCAACAUAUAUAAACUAUAAAAGUUAUACAUUCUUUUUUAUUACAAAUUAAUGUAAUCGGAAUUAAAACUAAGGCUCGUAAUCGGAAUCAUCCGAUGAGUCUUCUUCGGUGUCAGAAUUAAUUUCUGGUAAUCUAUGCAUUUCCUCAUCGCCAGAGUCUUCGUCGGUUUCUUGAUUUGGAUCAACAUCAAUAAGCCUUGGCUCUUCAUCACGAAUUCGCACCGAACGACCCGCUUUAAAAUUACUAAGGCGAACGGUAGAGGAGUUAGGAAUACCUAUUGCGCUGGGCUCUUGAUACGCAACAUCUUCUUCCUCGUCUUCGGCCUCUCCAAGUGUAGCCGCCUGAUAAAUAUUUCGAGGGUGCAAAAGGUUGACUACUUUCCACACGUCACCCUUAGCAAGGUCAUCAAGAUAAAAUAUUUGUUUUACCGAUGUGACAAAAACGAACGGGUCAUCUUCGUAACAACUUGUAGCAGUGUUCACCAAUAAUAUUCCAUACUGAUCGGUCUUCAUGCUCUGCGGCCUAGUAUCAAACCAUCUACACUUGAAGAGGUGCACUGUCAUGCCUUACCCAUAAACGAGUUCCACCACUGAAUGGAGAACACCGUAAUAGUCAACUCUAUUCCGCCCACCACGCGCCAUCACCCUAGAAUUCUGUGUUCUUCGUCUGCUGUCUCUCUGUUCACAUAUAAAUUGCACGUCAUUCACCUUGCACAUCGGAUAAACUCUUGACAUUAUCGGCUUCAUCGCUAGAAGUCUUAGUUCGUGCGACCAAUUUGGGUGACCAUCAAAUUGAAUAUGGUUCAUCUGCAACCAACCAUUCAACUGUAAAUAUGGAUAAUUAUGUAAUAAACAUAAACACGUACAGAAAUAUUGAAUUACGUACCCAGCAGCCAAAAUAGUUUGCGAACUCCCUGUUGUGGUAAUCGAGAUCACCUUGAAUGUCUGGACAAUUUAGAUUGAUGUCUUUCCAGUAUUCAACUUCUGGACAGUUAAUCAAUACCCACCAAUGGGCAAUGACUAGCUCAUGUGGUUGCAACUUGUAGGAUUCUGGCAAAAUUCCAUAAACUUCAACAUCACUGGAGAGUGUGGAAAGAUUGAACUUCGGUACAUCUAUCGGUAUGGUUUGCGGAGUUUCUUUCAACAUCACUAGAGAGUUUGGAAAGAUUGAACUUCGGUACAUCUACCGGCCGGUAUGGUACGGUACCAAAAUCACCGGCCAUACACUAUAUUGAAGACUCAUGUUGCCAAAAAGGUUGAACCCGUCGGAUGAGAGCCCGAGCCUCACAUUUCGGACCUCUGACGCAAAAUGAGGAAACUCCCUGUCUAUAUGCUUCCAAGCCUCCCCGUCAGCAGGGUGUAUAAGGGUAUCUUCGUCAUGCAAUUCCCUAUCAGCGUGCCAUCUCAUAGCUUCGGCCGUGUGUGAAGACAUGUACAACUAUUCCAGCCUAUCCCUCAACGGGAAAUACCGAAGUACCUUCACAGAUUUCCUAUUGCCUGCAGGAGUUAGCUUAUACUUGUCAGUGUGACAUACCGGACAUGCGUCAAGGCCACCAAGGUCAUUCCCUUCUAGAUCUUUACCCCAGAAGAGAACGCAGUCAUAUCUGCAUGCAUGGAUUUUGAUGUAGGAAAGCCCAAGAUCUUUCAGGAUAUAUCAGACCUUAUGAUGAGUGGUAGGAAGACGAUGACCGUGGGGCAGCAUCGAAGCAGUGUACUGUAGAUAAUCAUCAACAGCCUUCACGGUCGAUUUUGUCUCAACUUUAAUCUUCAUUACGUCCAUCACACUUUCAAGAACGGUCUUCUGACAACCGGGGUACACAGGGGUCUGUUGGAAAGCAAGCAGUUUGUUGUACUUGUCAAUACCAGCAGUGUUGAUAGCUCUAGGGAAGGGCUGCACCGGCUCAGGCAUAUACUGUCCUUGAGCGCAUACACCGCUCUCAUAAGGAAACAUGUCGUUGAUGAAGAUUGUUGUUGGAUCGUUGGAUGUACUGCCCGUCUCAGAAAAUUGGCCAUGAUCAUGCGGACCCCCUGAUGAUGUUUCACCGUGAUAUAACCAACAUGUGUAAUUCUCCCAAAACCCGUUACUCUUCAGGUGCUGCCAUAGUUUGUCAAUCGCAAAUCGAUGCAUAUCGUUGCGACACUGACAUUUCGUGCACGGGCAAUAGAAAAUUGUAUUCCCGUUAACAUUAGCCAGCGCAUAUUCCAGAAAACUCAUAACUCAUUUACCAUAUAUUUUGUCCCAUUUUAGAAGCGAAAUCCAACUCUUAUCCAUAUCCUGAAAAUAUAACAAAAUAUAUAUGUAUAACGCUAGCUAAUUAUUAAUUAAAUUUCAUGCCAUAUAUAAAAUCUCAAUUCAUUUAGUAUAUAUUCUACGUACUACAACUAAUUAAUAACAAAUUAAUUAACACACACAUAUAUAUUUACUUAAUAAUUACAUAACAAUAUUAUAUAUAUCAACAUCAUCACAAAAUCAUCAUCAACUCAUCACAUCAACAACUUCAUACCAUCAACACAAUAUUAUAAAUUAAUUAACAUAUAUAUAUAUAUAUCUGCUACUUAUAUAUAUAUUAACAACAACUUCAUAUAUAUUAUCAAAUCAUCAACCAAAUCGAUCAACAUAUAUAUAUAUAUAUAUAUAUACACAUCCAACGUACUCAAAAUCUAUCAAUUCAAUCACACUCAAAAUCGAUCAACUCAAAUAAAACUCAAAAUCAACAUAUAUACACAUAUAUAUAUACCUAUAUAUAGCUCCACGUGUCAAUUAUGGACAGAUUUCAACAACACCCAAACUUUUUCUCCCAUUUUUCUCCUGUUUUUUUCUCAGAUGAGCUGCAGUCCAGAUCUGCGAAUAUAAAGCACUUUAGCUGACGAAAUUAAAAUUUCGUCGGCUAAAGUAUGGUUAAAGUCGUCGGCUAUAAUCUGUGAAAUUUAGCUGAUGAAAAAAAUUCUUUAGCCGACGAAAAAAUGGUUCGUCGGCUAACGUGAACUUUAGCCGACGAAAAAAUGGUUCGUCGGCCUGGUUUUUUUAUUUUCGUCGGCUAAAGCCUUUCUUCUGGUAGUGUAAGAACAAGGUGAUCCUUUCGUUCUUUAAAUUCUCAGUGGAGAAGAAGCGUAAUUAAAUAGUCAAUAGAGGUCCAUGAUUUUUUAGAGUGUCGUCGAGAUUGAUAACUAAGGAUGUAGUUUACAUGGUCAUAUGGAUGUUGGGUGAGUUUAUUUUCUUGGAUGAGUUGGAAAUUAGUCGUAGUACUCAUGCUCAAGUGCACAUCAGGCAUUUGAUUUGCUUCACAAAGGAUCUUUGAGAUCAACCCGAGGUCAUUACUUUGUUGCAUCUCAAUUAUGAGAAGAUAAUAUGUUUUUGAAAGGUUUGCUGCCUAUUGGAAGAUUUGCCUAGAGGGUGUGAUUGUCUGCUAGCUAGAUCUGCUGGCUUCACAAAAGAAUAACAACGUGGGAGGCUCAAACCCUAACUCUAGAGUUUCGGCAAAUGUAGUUGUACAAAGUUCAAGUAAUUUGUCAAUUAAUCACCAAUGGCUCUAAUGGUGUUUCCCCGACUACUUAGGCACGUUUAAUCUUCCUUUCAGAGGCGGUGAACCCGUUCAACUAUAGUCCUCUUCUCCAUUUCGGGUUCUUCUACUCAAUUGUUAGCAAAUCAGGUUGCAACUUAUAUGUGUGAUGUGUCCUCCAUGUGUUAGAAUGUUAACUCUUGGUGACACGACUGCUAAAGCAUCUAGAUCUGAGGCCAUGAUUGUCCAUGGAUGUCUUGGAAGAGGAAGAAUGUCCCAAAGUCGGUUACCUACUCCAAGCAGUCGAAGAUACCGUAAGUCAUUGAAUUAGUCAAAAUGGAUUUUAAGCCUUCCUUGACUUUUUUUUCUCAAACUGUGACCAUUGUGGUGUCUCUUCUGAAAAAUGGUAGACUUGGUAAGCCAAAAGGCCGCAAGUACCAGCCUAAAGCUGUCGACAUGGUGAAGAUGGACAAGUUGCCUAAGAAGGUUAGGAAAUGAAAAGUCGAAGCUUGCGCCAUCAAUUAAGGCUUCGGCCUCUGAGGCUUCUCCCAAUGUUUCUACGGAUAACCUCUAUACAUAGGGUGGUUCAAAACUAAAUGAAUAACUUAAGUGUGGUCUUUGUUAUUGGGAUUUCGCUUUUUGUGUCACAUUCCGACCCUUUAAUUUUUACUUUAUUUACUAGCUUGAUUAUAAUAAGAAUUUUACCGUCUCAGUCAAUGAAGUUAUAGUUUAAUUGGUCCCUAAAGGGGUUUGGGGGACGAGUAUUUUUCGGAGGAUUAUUCAUAAGAGAAAAAUAUGACGACGGUAAAAAUGGUAAAUUUUUAACUAGUAAAAGGUAAUUUUUAUUAGGGUAUUUUGUUUUGAGGUGUUAAAUUGGUGGAGUUGGGUAAUACUUGUCGUGUUGGGCCGGGUUGGUGAGUGAGGCCCAAACCCCAUUUUUAUUUCCUCUUUUUCUUCUCUUCUUCUCCUCUUUUUCUUCUUCACUCUUUUCUUUUCCUUCCACUCCCGAGCUCUCUCUCUUCCUCUGCCGGAAUCCACCGUUCGCCGCUGUCGUCCGGCCAAGCAGGGACGCCUCACCACUCCAGCACGGUCCGUCGUCCUCCCCGCCGCCUUCCUAGGCUGGUGAGCGGCGCUGCAACCCCGCCAAGCGGAGGAAGUCCUCCUUGGACGCCGUUGGUCUUCUCGCCGGAGCUCCCUCCUCCGGCCACCAAUCCGGGCAAGCUAUAUAUGGUUUUGAAGGUCUCCAACCCAGCUACCUUGCCCUAAAAGGACUCACUCCGGUUCGCUUCAGGUAAGGAGAAAUUUGAGUUGGAAGUUCUAGGGCGUUUUUGAUAUUUCUGUUCGAUUGGUAUAGCUAGGCUUGGAUUUUGGGUUUGUGCUAGUUAGGAAAGUUGUAGAGGGAGUGGAGAGGAAGCUACUGUUAAAAUUUGGUAGGAAUUAGAGGUCGCCGAAAUCGGCCUCCGGCUGCCGCUGUUGGCGGAGCUGGCGCCAGCGCCGGCGCCGGUUGAGAGAUUUUAAUGUUUUUAAAUUUGGAAUAUUAAAGGGAAUUUAUUGAAGUGAGUUAUAGAAUUUUUGGAUGAGUUUUGGAUAGGUUUAUGAAUUUCCGAAGUGUGGUAUUUUUGGCGGUUAAUUAAUGUAGAAUUCGGCCGUUGGAUUAAAGUUGUUUAAACUGUGGGACGGUGUAGUUACGGCUGCUGGUUCUAGGGUUGAAAUGUGGACCACUUCGAAGUUAGGCAAUGUUGAGCGUGAUAAUGACUCUCGGUUAAUUUUUGCCUAUUUUGUGUAAAUAUUGGAAUUUCGGCUGGGAAAUUAAUAUUAUAUUUGGAACAGGUCGUGAGGAGGCUCGAGCAGACGAGGCCCCAGAUCGAUAUCAGGCUUAGGCCUAAUUUGUGAGUGGACUUUUGUUUUAAAUAAUGUGCAUGCGAAAUAAUUUAUGUUGUUGGAGAAUAACCGAAAUUGAGAAUUUCGGUGAGUGUAUAUAUAUAUAUAGAUGAUUAUGAGAAUAAUAUGUAUAUGAAGGAAUGCUAGCUAGCUAUACGUGCUUUUCCACCAUACUGAGGUAAAAUUCCAUUAUGGUGCGACGUGAGCGUUAGACGCAAUCGUCGUAGCCCUAUAUAAAUAUAAUAAUUUAUAUAGGGGAUAUGCGCGUAUAUAUUUAUACACCGUCUUUUCCACCAUCAUGAGGUAAAAUGCCAUUAUGGUGUGACGUGAGCGUUAAACGCAAGCGUCGUAGCCUUGUGUGAAUUUUGUAUUUGUCUUUGUUGUUUCAAGAAAAUUCAUACAAGGGAUAUGACGAGUGUAAUACAUACAUAUUUUAUUUUAGCCUGAGAGGCUCUUAUGUUUGAAGUGUUGGUGACUAGCGCGGCUAGUCAGGUGUUGGUAAAUUCGGUAAAUUUUUUUAAAGCUUUUGAGUUUGUUGCAUGCCAUUAAUUGUUUUUCCACUGAAGUUUAAAUUGGGAAAGCAUAAAUAAUUAUUUCUUUUAAUUUAUUUUUGUCCACUCACUCUAACGUGUUUCAAAUGUCUACUCCUGGGCCCUUCGUUUUAAAAUGCCCAGUCUGCAGAGUACGGGUUGGACCUAGUAGGAGACGAGGCAUAGUCACCCGCAUUUCCACCACUUUUCAUCCGUAGGUUACCUGUUUAACCUACCUGUGAUUUCUUACUUCCGCUAGUGUCUAGUAGCUCUAAAUACUUGGGUUUAAUAUAUAUUAUUUCGGUUGUGGGCGAAGGCUUGUUGUCAUUUUAGAAUAUUUGUCGGAUGAUUUAUGUUAUCUUAUUUGGAUAAUUAUGUGUUGAUUUGGAAGAUGUUCUAUUAUUUUUGUUAUUUGUGGUGGUUGUAUUUGGGGAGCACGUAGGCUCUAGAAGUUAAGGUUGGAUUGAGAAUUUUAGAAGUGUUUGCAGGUUUUCUUUAGAAAGGGUUGUCCAUUUUCAAGGGAGAUUAUGUCGAAUUUUCGGUAAUAUCUUUCUUGGAGGUGGUCCCCGCAGGAUUUACUCCGGGUUUUAGGGUAAAAUUUGGGGUGGGUCUUGUCACAUUGGUUACUUUGUAUUUACUAUCCAAUCUUGUUUACUUAGAAUACUGAUUAUCUAGUUUUUAGCAAUAAUUCGAUUUGGAUGGUCCUGCAUAUCAUGGGCUAUUGUGUAAUGUUGGCCUAACCCCUAUUUUUUUUAUAUCGAACAGGUCAAAUAGUUUAAUAGAUCAGCAAGCAAUACAAAAACAAAAUGCCCCGUAACUGUCGUCAAUAAGUAAUUUUUUGCAGAACCCAAAACUAGUACUAGCUAUAGUCUAUCUAGUACUAGCUACAAGCUCAUAAUACAUGAAGGUAUAAGGAUAGUUGGCAAUCCUUUCAUCCUGCAAAACACUUUGAGAUAAUGUUAUCUGAUCAAGAACAAGUGGCGCUAAUAUCCCUUAUGGUUUCAGGUAAAACAUGCAUCUGCAUAUCAUUGUUUUUCACAGUAGUACUGAGUCUUCUGCUGUUCUGAGGUUCAAAGUCUGUUAUAUUAGUUUAAUAUAAAAUGGACAACUGAGUUUGUGGGAAGUGCCUUAGCGCUCAAACCAGUCAAAGGGUUGAGAUCUUUUGUUAUGCCAACCUGUGACCAAAUGGUUUGAUGCUCAAGGCUCCAGCUGGGAUUUCAUGAUACGUUAUCCGAUGUAUAAGCUGGUCCCUGUAUGGUUCAAAGACCAGUUGCUAUCAGCUGUGUCAAGGUCCACUAAUGGACUGAGUAAGAGGGUUUGAAACCUCUUUGCUCCCUGUUUGAAUCAUCCAUGUUUUAGGAAAGGGUUAUUUGUCUUAUUGAGAUUGCUUGUGUCAUCUCUGUGUUUGGACACAUCACUUUCAGUAUGGGAGCCAAACACUUCUGUCCAAAUCUUUCUGAAACAUGUUGAGGUCAGCUUGCAUCAUCCUUGAUGUCAUUGUUGGCCUAUAUAUAUCUACAGCUUUAGCUUUGCUCAAUGGUUGUGGAAAACUGCCUUAUUGCGUUUUCUUUGUUGAGUCUAGUUUUUAGCUUGCAUUGUUCAUGCUGCUCUAAGUCUUCUUCGUGACUGUAAACCUUAGAGCUUGAACUCAAAACUUCUUUCAUCAACUCAUAUCAUGUUGCAUACCAUGAGGGAUGUGUAGUGCAACCAACCCAAGAAGCGUUCAAGGUUGAAUCUGCUAGUGGUUAGCUGAAUUCACGAACAAGGCUUCGAAAAAUGUCCCAUGUUGUAAGAACUUAGAAACAAGAGAGGGAAUAGGUCUAGACUAGUUCGGGACUAGGAAGGAUAGCACUGUGGUAGUGUAUCACUAGAACUAUUAUUCUUGUAAGAAGUUACUUCAACUUAGUGGAAGUUUUUGUCUCUCAAGAGUUAGAGACACGCAGUUUUUCUCCCUGCAUUCAGGGUUUCUGCGAGUAAAAAACAUCCUUGUGUUGUUUGUUUAUUUGCUGCAAUUUACUUUCUGCAAACUCGUAUCCUGUGAUUCUGGGAUAGCACAAGUCAUUGCUAUCCUCGGAUACAGAAGGCAACGAAAAUUUCAAAAAGGCCUAUUACCCCCCCUCUAGGACCUUUAAUACACCCACCUUAUAGAUAAGCUCAAUUAUUCAACGAGAAAGCUAGCUUCAUAGAUAAGCAUCAAGACCUGUAAAGAUAUUAGCUAACUCGAACCAAACAAAAAUAAAAAAGGGCCGAAAGGAUAAAUAAGCUCAAAUGACAUUUACAUUGGCCCAAUAGGCUCAAACAAAGCCCAACAACUAGGGUUAAUCUGACGAGCCAAAAAGGCCCAAACAUCUUCGACAACAGCAACUCCUUCGCCAACAAUACCUACAUCGUCGACCGCAUAGACUGAUAGACCCCAUCACUACUUCGAUCUCUACUGCUCUCACCUUGAUAGCAGAAAGAAGGAAAUAGCCAAAAAAAUUCCCAUAUACGAGGGCUGAAUCACAUACUUCUAGCCACCGUCAAGCAAGCCAUCACCACCGGGUACUAGGGACGGAUGCAUGUAGAGCGUAGAGGCACUUGCCUAGACUGGGUUUUAUGAACUUAUUUACUAUAUAAAUUGCAUAGGUUGGGAGUAGUCAAGUAUGUAAAAAUGACAAAAAUAGGGUAAACCAUGUGAACCAUGUGAAUUUGAGAAAAGGACGAGUUGCUCCACGUGUUUUCACUACAACAAUAUGGACGUUGUGUGGCCUUUAGAGGUGUUGCAUGUUCCCAUAAGUGUGACAAAUAAGGAUAUUAGCGGAGUAUGAAAGGGAAAUAUCACACAUGUGUGCUACAAGAUACGAUAUGUGGCCUUUGCUCCAUAUUGUUGUAGUGAUUUUUUUUUCUUUAUAUGAUAGCAACUGAUACGAUAACAUUUGAUCUAUUCAUUUAGUUGUUCUGAUGGGCUUAAAUGAUGUUGUUUACUAGGAAUCAUGCCAGUAAGUUUUCUUCUUUGUUGUAUGUGUCGUUGAUGCUAGAACCCUUGAUAUGAUGCUUUGAUUCCUAGACUCCUACAUAUCAUUUGUUGACAUUAUUUGCAUUUUAAUUUCUUUUUUUACGUAUAUCUUACUGCUUAGUUUAAGUCUUGUCUUAGCUGAGAAAUUUCUCUCCAUAUUGAUACAUAUGAUAUGAUACGAUAUUUUUGUUCCUCCAAUGUGAUGGAGAAUGCAGAUGCGAGAAGGAAACAGAACCUUCAACCCUUUAGGGGAAUUUCUGGAUCCGCCACUGCCUGGUACUACGGCCUUCGGCAUCGUCUCCCAUCCAAAUCGAUCCCAGAUCCAAUUCUCCACAAGUGUUCCAGUGUCACCAUCAACCUCCCUAACUAAAGCAAAAGGAAAACCGUUGAAGCUUGAGAUCCCCCUCUCAAUCAAAGAUGCAAGGCCACUGCCAGUAAAAACUCGCCGCCACUAAGAAACCUCUCACCAUGAGAGGCAAGAGAGAGCAUGUCUUCACUAAUAUCUUUAUUUGAGAAUGAUCUUCACUAAUAUCUUGAAUUCAAAAGAUAACCUAAAACUUUAGACCUAGUCAGAGUCGUCGAUCAGAAAGAAACAAGGACCAUGAACAUUAAAAGUAUCUAAUGGAGGGGAACAAAUCGGACUCUGUUGCCAACCCCAAAUACCAUCAUCAUGAAUUAUUCAUGAUGAAGGGUCGAUUAUAUAUUAAUCACAAUGUACCAAUCUAACGUACGUUAUAUUACUGCACAUUUUCAUGUUUAAAGGCAAUCUGGUUAUUGGUAGGCUUACGUACGUGCAUUAUACACACAUGUUUGAAUAUUUAUGGACUUGAAGGCAAAGUUCGAAGUGUGUGUGGAGACUGGAGAGUCGGAUAUUGAAGUAUAAUCAACCCAACACCAGGAACAUAUAUUGAUACACAUGCAAGUGAAAGUGAGAUGAGAUCAAUACAGUAGCUAGGUUGCACCUAUUUCAUACUUCACUUUCAAGUCUCAACAAACACAAACUAGAAUAUCAUUCGUAUCAAAAAAAAACAAACAAACUAGAAUAUCAUUGAUUAAUUAAUAAUUGCUGCUUUAAUUUCCAUGCAAUGGCAGCAAUGCAAAUAUUUUGAUAUAGAACCUCAUUGAAGAAAGAAAAACUCACUAUUUUGAUAUCUAUGCUUAUCCUUUUAGGUCUUUGAUAAGAUACGGUGGAAGUAGUAGUGCUUCUUGCACUUUCAAAAGAGCAUCGAUCACAAUCAAAUUAACUAUUACAUAGUUGUUUGUACCCUAAGCCAAAAUUUGAUUGCGUAGGUGAGAUACUCGUAUCAUUAGUUGAUGGAAAUUAAUUUUGGAGAUGGAUGAUGUUUUAAGGAAUGAAUUUUUAGGUUGAGGCGUGUGGUUCACUGCCCUUAAGAGUAGAUGUCUGUCUUUCGAAGAUUGUAUCUCGGUGUAGCAAGUAUUGACGACCUACCCUCUAGGGCUCCAGGGUACAACAACCUCGAUUCUAGUAAGUGUACACUCACAAUAUUAGGAUCGUAUCGAACAUCUUGAUUUACCUUUCUUUGGUGGAAUAGAAUAGGAAACAAGAAGAUGAUAAUCGUUGCUGUGUAGAUCGAAAUGGACACCUAGAGCUUAUAUAGGGAAGAAAUGAUCAAUGUAAUUAGCAAUUAAAAGCUGAAAACGGUAAGUAACUUAAUAGAAAUGAUUUCAUAGCAAAUAAGUAAACUGGGGUAUAAUUGCAAUGUAAUUGCAAUAUUAUGAACGUUAGGAAGAUCGCAAACGGAGGAAGACUACAAACUUGUGGCAUAAUGGCAACCACAAUUAAUGAGAUUAAUAUCCAUGUCAAACGUUUCAGAACGAAAGUUUCUAUCAUAACUACGUAUUUUGAAAUAUUUGAAUGAAAUUCCAAUAUUAGUGAGUGUCAAACAUCUCUUACUUCGUUUUGAAAAUAAUUAUGGUCUUAUCUUCAGGCUUUAUCUUACUCUGAUCAUCUUUUAGAGGGUUCUAAAAGACUGCUUCCACAACAUGAGUCAUCCCAAUCGAUGCAUUGACAGUCCCACUCUGAUUGAUUAAUCUUGCACAGCGCAUUUCCAUAACAACCGGCUUAGCUUAUGUUAGUUAGGUUUCACAAUCACACCAAGCAAGUGAUCAUGACAUGAUAGAGUUGGUUGCACAUGGAAUUCUGUAAUUGGCAGCAGCAUACAAAGUGCUCUCCAUGUUUACAAAAUACAUGCACGCCAAAACGUCCAGUUCCACUCAUUUGAAGAAAAAAAACAGCUUACUCAUUUCGGGGUCCUACUUCAAAGCUUCCAAUUGACUUGAAACACUAUCUUACAAUAAUUGAAGCAACACACCGACACUACCAUAACUUAUAAUAUAAAUUAAGCAGACCCAGGUUGAAAUAGUUAUGCUUAUUUCCAAAGACGAACUUCACAAAAUCCGAAUGGUUUGGAACGUUGGAUUAUCAAAAUUUGAAGUAAAAAGGAAUCAAUAUAUAUACUGCAAAGGUCAUUGAACGAGAAAAUUGGGAACUUAAAAAUGAUCUAUUUCUUAUCUAUGAUCAUUUUAUAAACUUAAUUUGCUACUCAUGACAAAUUGAUUAAUAUAUAUAUUCUUCAACAAAAUGAUAAUGAAAAUUAGCAAGAACUAAUUUUAAAAAACCUUUUUCACUUACAAAAGAAUUUAUACUUGGUAGUACAAGAUUGACUUUUGCACAAUGUAACAUGGUUGCACAUGGAAAAUUCCUGCUAUGCUGGUUUACAGAGUAACAAGCAUUAUGUGUGCCCAUUCCCUCAUCCCACCAAACUAACACCCAAAAUGUUAUAUAAAUAUAUAUUGACCAAAAUACCAAAAUGUUUCAUAAGUUUAAUGAAUAACAAAGCAAGAAGUAACGAAAAAUUCUAAAAUGUGUUAAUGCAUGUGAAUGAUGUGAUGCAUCAACUUUGUAAAUUGAGUUCUCAAAACUAGUAAUAUUAGUCCUCGGAGUUAUAAUAUGAGUCCUUAAAGUUGUAAAAAAAAUUGUUACAACAUUAGUCAUCAUGUGUGCUUAAAGUAGUAAUUGAGUCCACAAAUGUGUUAAUGCAUGUGAAUGAUGUGAUGCAUCAACUUUGUAAAUUGAGUCCUCAAACUAGUAAUAUUAGUCCUCGGAGUUGUAAUAUGAGUCCUUAAAAUUGUAAAAAAAAUUUGUUACAACAUUAGUCAUCAUGUGUGCUUAAAGUAGUAAUUGAGUCCACAAAGUGAUUAAAAAAAAAGUUACAACUUUGAGGACUCAUAUUACAACUUUAAGGACUCAAUUACUACUUCAAGGACAAAUGAAGACUAAUGUUGUAACUAAUUUUUUGUUACAAUUUUAAGAUUUAAGGACUCAUAUUACAACUUUAAGGAUUAUUAUUACUACGUACUUUGAGGACUUAUUUACAACUUGAGAGCAAAAUUGAUGUAUCACAUAUAUUAACACACCCUAACCAUUCUGGGUAACCCUAAAUUUUAACAAAAAAAUAUUAUCAAAUAGGUACGUGUUUAAGAAUCGUUUUUCAUUUUACUUUGGAUCUCACUACUGUAUUCGACACCGGCCUAUACCUAUACACAAAUUAGACAUAAAAAUUAAAAGAGAAAAUAAUGUGUCUACGUACCAAAUUUUAAAUCGAUUGUCAGUAUCGAAAUAAGUGUUAACACAAGUAAUAGUUCUGUGUUAACUUAGGUAUUCCGUAUUUUAUUACCAGUAUUCCGUAUUUUAUUACCAGAUUUCUUACGUAAGUUCUCGCAAACUACAACAUGUUAUGCUGUUGAUCUAUGAGCCAAGCGUUUUAAAUAACUAUGAAGUACAAUAUUCACAAAUUGACAACUUGCUAAUCAUGCCUAAUACAAAAUCAUUAUGUCAAUCACCAAACCUUUUCUUCCACUGAAAAAAAAAAAAGAAAAAAAAAGACAUAAUAUACUCACAAGAAUAUCAAAAGAAAAUGAAUAUUACAAAUCCUUUAAAAAAAUAAAAACAAAAAUAUAUCACACA